Molecule: ribosomal RNA, 497 nt
Filed under: uncultured bacterium
Lineage: Bacteria
Description: partial 16S ribosomal RNA
Rfam family: Bacterial small subunit ribosomal RNA
Source: RNAcentral
GAUGAACGCUGGCGGCGUGCCUAAUACAUGCAAGUCGAGCGGACGGACGAGACGCUUGCUUGUCUGAUGUUAGCGGCGGACGGGUGAGUAACACGUGGAUAACCUACCUAUAAGACUGGGAUAACUUCGGGAAACCGGAGAUAAUACCGGAUAAUAUUUUGAACCGCAUGGUUCAUAAGAGAAAGACGGUCUUGCUGUCACUAAUAGAUGGAUCCGCGCUGCAUUAGCUAGUUGGUAGGGUAACGGCUUACCAAGGCAACGAUGCGUAGCCGACCUGAGAGGGUGAUCGGCCACACUGGAACUGAGACACGGUCCAGACUCCUACGGGAGGCAGCAGUAGGGAAUCUUCCGCAAUGGGCGAAAGCCUGACGCAGCAACGCCGCGUGUGUGAUGAAGGUCUUCGGAUCGUAAAGCUCUUUUAUUAGGGAAGAACAUAUGUGUAAGUAACUGUGCCCAUCUUGACGGUACCUAAUCAGAAAGCCACGGCUAACUACGUG